UCCGUGGCGACGCGGAAUCUGAAGGAAGUCGGCGGCAAAUCUCCGGUCUGAGGAACACGAACUUCAUAUAAGGCUAGGUAUCAUUGGAUGAGAUUGCACAACAAAUCAAAGUCUUACUGCCAAAGGUGAUACAGAGUAAAUGAAGCAGAUAGAUGGAGAGGAAGAAUAUGCG
This 172-nucleotide non-coding RNA is filed under the name Bacillus sp. 491mf. Lineage: Bacteria; Bacillati; Bacillota; Bacilli; Caryophanales; Bacillaceae. The record is from RNAcentral.